GCCCAGACUCCUACGGGAGGCAGCAGUGGGGAAUAUUGCACAAUGGGGGAAACCCUGAUGCAGCGACGCCGCGUGAGUGAAGAAGUAUUUCGGUACGUAAAGCUCUAUCAGCAGGGAAGAAAAUGACGGUACCUGAUUAAGAAGCCCCGGCUAACUACGUGCCAGCAGCCGCGGUAAUACGUAGGGGGCAAGCGUUAUCCGGGUUUACUGGGUGUAAAGGGAGCGUAGACGGCAGCGCAAGUCUGGAGUGAAAUGCCGGGGCCCAACCCCGGAACUGCUCUUGGAACUGCGUGGCUGGAGUGCAGGAGGGGCAGGCGGAAUUCCUGGUGUAGCGGUGAAAUGCGUAGAAAUCAGGAGGAACACCGGUGGCGAAGGCGGCCUGCUGGACUGCAACUGACGUUGAGGCCCGAAAGCGUGGGGAGCAAACAGGAUUAGAUACCCGAGUA
This 446-nucleotide ribosomal RNA is filed under the name uncultured bacterium. Its description in RNAcentral is "bacterial SSU rRNA". It matches the Rfam family "Bacterial small subunit ribosomal RNA", at positions 329 to 792 of the family's 1533-position model. The record is from RNAcentral.